RNAcentral lists this long non-coding RNA (2168 nucleotides) under Homo sapiens (human). RNAcentral's name for it is "HSALNT0298429". Lineage: Eukaryota; Metazoa; Chordata; Mammalia; Primates; Hominidae. The record is from RNAcentral.
AUCACUUAAAUUUUGAGUUAUGCUCUGUCACAUAUUAUGGGGUAAAGGUUGCAUCAUAAUAAUAUUUUGGAGAGUCUUAGAGACCUCUGGACUAUCCCAUGUGAAUUAUGAGGUCAUAGUACAUAUCCUGCAGGCUUUCAACCUUGACCAGAGGUUUUCAUAAUGAAUGCAGCAUCCCUGGGGAGUGAUCUGAAGCUGGCGAGGCAAUGAGAACACCCUGGCAGGGCAGCUGAGCUGGGUGGAUCCUUGUUCUGUCACCAAGCCUUUAAGUCAUAUGCUGACAUGUUACAGUCCUGCCUGGGACCCUGCCCACAAAUACUUAAGAUACACGACUUUGGGAAUCACCCAACUGAUGGAAAGAACCAGGAAAGGGGUCAGGAUCUGCACCUUGGCAAACUUUGAAGAACACCCAAUUUGAUGAAUGAAAACUCCUCACUUGUGCUCUGGUGGUGUUUUAGGACAAUGGGCCCCUCCUGGAUGCUCCAGUGAAGCCCCAUAUCACCUUUUUCCUUCCUGUUUGCCAUAGCUCCAGGUGUAGGGACAGAUCAGAAGAUUCUGGAAAAGGCAGAUCACCAAAGAACUCAAGAUGUACUGAUAUUUUGCCAGUUUCCUUCAUCAACAACUUGUCUUCUUUACCAACUAAGGGCAAACAAAGAGAACAAACUAAAAAAAAAAAAAAAAGAAAAGAAAAGAAUUAAAUAAUUAAACAAAGAACUUAAAUAAGAAGAAAGGUUGUACCUGCCUACAAGAUUAUCAACACCAUGUGAGAACAUCCACUUUGCUGAACUCUUUCUCACAUAUCACCUUUAGAGAUGUUACAUGGUGACCAACUGUCAUUAACUUUGGAUGUUUUUCCUGGAGGAGGAGAAUGUGCAGGAAUGAGAAGAAAAUACCAUCAGAAUCAUGUGGACCCACAUUCAUCCCUUACUUCACCCCUUCUGGGAAGGAACCCAGCAGGCUCAAAGAUAUGGAAAAUGCCACCAGAAAAACAGUACCUGGGACAGAGGGUAGAGAUUCCUAUGGCAGGAAUGAGACUACUUUUAAUCUUUCUUCCGUCAUCUCAGCUUUUAAAUUUCUCCCUAGAGAACAUUUGGGUAGUAAGAUUCAGAGGUGCAUGUUAGGGUGUCAGGUGCACCCUGUGUCCUGGAAGUAGAUGGUACAGGCUCCUUUGUCUGGAGGCAAAGCGGGGCCAGAGUGGGCAGGGUCAGUUUCAAGGCUUUGGGAAAGCAGUGGUCUGGCAGUACUCUUCUGGCUCUUGGAAGCAGGAAUGCAAACUUGAUUCAGGCUGGGAGCAAACACCUGUUUCAUCUUUCAGGAAUAUCAGGAGUAUAGCAGCAGGUGACAGGGUACUUUGCAGAACCAGCAGAGGGGUGUCACCUCACACCCCAGGGAGCCAUAGUGUCCCAGUGUGGAGGCAGAAAGGUAGAAAGGGGUCAUUGGAGUAGCUUAGAGUAAUCUUGUGAGCUUUAGGCUUAAAUCAGCUGACUGAGCAGGGUCUUCUCUUCCACUGUUCAGGAUGAGGCUAUGCCUGGGGUCAAAAAGAAAAAGCCUCCAACUAUUUUACAUUGGCAGCUAUGAGGAUGGAAAAAAUAGUAGUGAUGGUGUUUGUUUUUUCAUUAACAGGUUAACCUGACCAUUGUGGGAAUGUCAUUAAAUAUUUUUCUAAGAUAUAAUUUUUACUGACUAAUGCUUGUGCCAUUACUUAAACCAUUACCUUAAAUUGUUUUCUAAUAUAAAUAAUUCUGAGAUGAGCACCUAUGAAUAUAUAUUUUCUCCCAUCACUGAAGUGAGAUUGCUGAAUCAAACGAUGGAAGGUUUUGAAGACUCUGGAUACAGUUUUCUAAGUUCCUUUCUAGAAAAUUGUGUUAACAAACGCUCCCAAGAGCAAGGCAGAAGAAGACUGAUAAAUUUGUUCUUGUGACUUUCUCAGGAUGUGGACUUUGGAGAAGUAAUACCUGCUGAUCCUGGACUUCUGAGAAUGGGUGUUUAUGGGAUAAGAUGGGAAGGUUUUCCAGCCUCCUUUAGGGAGGUCAUUACCUUCAAAUGAAAAAUUGAGGUCACACUAGAUAUACAUACACAUAGAAAGUACAAUGAGGAAAUGAACUUCAAGUAGGAAAUCAAGCAGGAAAUAAGUCAAUGAUGGACUAAUCUCUCAAAGUAAGUUGUUC